AAUGGAAUCAAAAUUCAUGGAGCAGUGAAAAUAUACAAAAAUUAACAAACCAUUUUUGCCAACAAACAUGUCAAAACACCCAUGUUUGUUUAUUCAAAAAAAUUGCAAAAACAUGAUAUUGAAAUCUUUGUUUAUAAAGAGAAAAUUAAGAACGCACGAACACACACAUAGCCAGCACGCACUUUUUUUUGUAAUCGAUGACUUGAAAACUUUAUUCGUGAGAAUAAUGGUUUGCAGCGUAUAAUCAAAAGUGACAUGUUCCUGUCCAUUUCCUUCGCGUUAUUACGGUAAUAGCACCCGGGAAUGCGCGAAUAUUCAGAAAUUCUUACGUUUGUUCAAGUAUGAUACAAAGAUCCGUGUUGUUCAUAUGCAGUGUUUUAACGGGCACCGCAAUAUUUCCGCGUGAAAUGCCGAAACACGUUCUGGGGGUGACUGCGCUUUCGCUGUAACCCUUUCCGUAGAAACACAGCUUGUAGUCUUUUGUGACAUUGUUGUCGCCGCUAUCCCACGUGUUGCAGAAGAGACAAAUGCAUUGCAGACUCCCGCCACCGAGCGAGCGAGCUGCAUCGACAGCUUUAAGUCAUCGCUGUCACUGCAAGAUAUUACGAAACUGUAGUCUUUACAGUUCACAUCUCCCAUUCCUUCCAAAGGCUAUACAAUGAGUGAAUACUUCUCGCUGUCGGAGUGUGAUGUAAUUGGCUUUGAUUUGGACCACAGGCUUUGUCGGUACAAUUUGAAGGAGACCUCCAGGCUGAUCUAUGAGAGUUUUGCAAAGUAUCUGGUGGAACACAAGGGCUAUGAUAAAGAUCUGCUUCAUUUAACACCCUCUACUUGGGAUUUCCGGGGAGUUUUAGUAACAGAUUUAUCAAUAAAACUGAGAAUACUUGCAUGGAACCAGAUUUAUCAUGACCGAUGCCCAUAUAUACUCAAAACAGAUGCAGAUGUUGAUGCUAAAAGACCUUGAUAGUUAGUGCCAUUAAUCGUUCUUUAAUAAAUAUUUAAAUCAUUAUUAAGUAUUACAUAACUAUUUACAGCAUAAUUCAGAAUCAAAACUUCAUUAAAUCUUUAAUGGUUGAACAAGGUCAUGACCUUAAUCACAUCAUCCAGGGAAUCAAACUGCUCACCCUUUGUCAAAAUUCACCAUUUUGAAUGCAGAAUCACUCAUCUAUGUUUAUGUGCGAACAGGUUUUUUCCUUGAUAAAUGUUAGAGGCUUUUUUAAAGAUAUAUAUACACAAAGAACAUAGAAUAUAGUCAUAUAUAUUUAUUUUAUUUUUGCUGUUAAAAUAUGCUAAUUAAAAACAAUAGGACAAAUAAAAGAACAAAGAUACAAAUUAAAUAAACGUAAAGUUUCAAGUUUUAAAAUGAAAUAAAAGUUUUUCAGGUACAAUUGGUUUAUUUAACAUCUAGUAAGAUGUCCACAGAAAUGGAAUAAUUAAAUGUAAAUAAAAAUCUGCAUAGUUUUCACUGUAUUAUUUAAAUAUAAAUUAAAUCUUAUUAGAGAUUGAUACAAAAGUUAAGCAGUCAAGAGCAGUGAAUGAUUUUUUUCUUUAUUUUGCUCUUUAAUUAACAUUAAAAUACACAGGCAGCAGCAGGUUCAUUAGGCUCCACAUGAUGGAUAUUGAGUACAUCAUGCACAUGCUAUAUUGGAAAUUUACAUGCAUAUAUAGCAAAAUCUCUAACGAUAGACACUUUAUACUGUUGCCGCGAUAUGUCAUCAUACUGCCAGCCUUACUCAUUAACAAACUGAAUCUUGUUUCAUGCAAGUAUUCUUGUCACUCAUACAGAUUAUGAAAAGAAAUUAAUUGGUUAUGUAUAUAUCUAUAAUAUUUUCAUUUGCGUAGGCUUUUUUUUCUUAACAAAGAAAUAAGUUGUUGUCCUAGUAUGAGCCUGUUUAUCUCUCUAGUACACAAACACAGUUGCUUGUUGUCAUGUGACCAGUUUUAAAGGUCUUGUGGUGCACCUUGAGGAGGGCAAUCUUGUCAAGUUGGCAGAGGACGGUACUGUCUUGCGAGCAACUCAUGGCAGUAAAAACCUUAGUACUGACGACAUUAUAAAGCAUUACGGUCCAAAAAGAGAAUGGAAGCAUUUUAAUAGCCUCAAUACCUCAUAUACACGAUCUGCAAAAUACUAUUUUUAUGACAACUAUUUUGACCUCCCUGGUGCUCUUCUCUGUGCCAGAGUGGUGGAUAUGUUGAAUAAGCGAGGAGCUGAAAUCACAUCUGAUGUUUGGAAAGACAUUGUUGCUGCUAUUGACCAUAAUUACAACACAUCUGCAUUUCGGAGAACACUGGGAUAUAUUUCCCCAGUGUGAAGUGCUGUCCUGGCCGUUAUCUGCAGCCCUGCUCCGAUGCGGUGAAGAGAUGGUUGAGGAGCAUGAAGAACAGCGGUAAAAUCAUGCUGCUCAUCACCAGCUCACACUCGGACUACUGCCGCCUCGUGUGCGAGCACAUACUCGGAAUGGACUUUGAGGAGCUGUUUGACAUCAUUAUCACUAUUGUUCUG
Long non-coding RNA from Cyprinus carpio (common carp), 2503 nucleotides. RefSeq lists it as uncharacterized. The transcript is spliced from 7 exons. Lineage: Eukaryota; Metazoa; Chordata; Actinopteri; Cypriniformes; Cyprinidae. The record is from RefSeq and is a predicted model, not a curated record.